Molecule: long non-coding RNA, 524 nt
Filed under: Homo sapiens (human)
Lineage: Eukaryota; Metazoa; Chordata; Mammalia; Primates; Hominidae
Description: HSALNT0035026
Source: RNAcentral
GUCCCAACUUCGGAGGACCUGGGCGCGGAGGGCUGUGGCGUGAAGACCGCUCUAAAACCGAGAUGACUAGAGGUUCCGUUUAACCGAUUCCUGCCGGGGAAGCGUCAGCAGGUGGGGAUCUCGGGGCAGCCUGCAUUCCAGCUCUACCUGGGAUUGUCGCCGUGCACAUGGCUGGAGGAGCGUCUCUCCGCCACUGCGCACAUUUUGCAGCCUGCACCGGCCAACGCAAAGAAUGGCCGAGUGGAUUCUGAGGACCGGAGGAGCCGCCACUGCCCGUACCUGGACACCAUUAACAGGAGUGUGCUGGACUUUGACUUUGAGAAACUGUGUUCUAUCUCCCUCUCACACAUCAAUGCUUAUGCCUGUCUGGUGUGUGGCAAGUACUUUCAAGGCCGGGGUUUGAAGUCUCACGCCUACAUUCACAGUGUCCAGUUUAGCCACCAUGUUUUCCUCAACCUCCACACCCUCAAGUUUUACUGCCUUCCAGACAACUAUGAGAUCAUCGAUUCCUCAUUGGAGGAUAU